GGGAGUGUGGUUCUAACUGGUAGAAUAGGUGUUCGCCAGACAUCAGGUUAUCGGUUCGAAUCCGAUCACUUCCA
This 74-nucleotide transfer RNA is filed under the name Candidatus Poribacteria bacterium. RNAcentral describes it as "tRNA-Gly". It matches the Rfam family "tRNA". Rfam says of the family: Transfer RNA (tRNA) molecules are approximately 80 nucleotides in length. Their secondary structure includes four short double-helical elements and three loops (D, anti-codon, and T loops). The record is from RNAcentral. Lineage: Bacteria; Candidatus Poribacteria.